RNAcentral lists this small RNA (148 nucleotides) under Callithrix jacchus (white-tufted-ear marmoset). RNAcentral's name for it is "Metazoan signal recognition particle RNA (ENSCJAG00000073221.1)". Lineage: Eukaryota; Metazoa; Chordata; Mammalia; Primates; Cebidae. The record is from Rfam by way of RNAcentral.
GCUGGGUGUGGUGGCGCACACCUGUAGUCCCAGCUACUUGGGAGGCUGAGGCAGGAGAAUCACUUGAACCCAGGAGGCGGAGGUUGCAGUGAGCUGAGAUUGCGCCACUGCACUCCAGCCUGGGAAACAGAGCGGAACUCUGUCUCAA